Long non-coding RNA from Perca flavescens (yellow perch), 308 nucleotides. RefSeq lists it as uncharacterized. The transcript has 3 exons. Lineage: Eukaryota; Metazoa; Chordata; Actinopteri; Perciformes; Percidae. The record is from RefSeq and is a predicted model, not a curated record.
UGAUGUGCUCUGGGUACCCUUAAUACUCAUUGCUUUAGGAGGAACCAUGAGUGUGGUCUUGGAUUUGUCCUUCCCUGUGUGCGUUUGGAUCUCUGCUGCCGUUGCCAUUACCUACACACUGCUGGGAGGUCUCUACUCUGUGGCCUACACAGAUAUUAUACAGCUUGUGCUCAUAUUCUUCAGCUUGUGGAUCUGUGUUCCCUUUGCUUUGAUGAACCCUUACUCUUUGGACAUUAGCCAGACACUGAUGAACAACACCUUACACACUCCCUGGAUUGGUACAACAGGACUGAAAAAGACCUGGAUAA